GCGAACGCUGGCGGCAGGCCUAACACAUGCAAGUCGAACGAACCUUUCGGGGUUAGUGGCGGACGGGUGAGUAACACGUGGGAACGUGCCUUUAGGUUCGGAAUAACUCAGGGAAACUUGUGCUAAUUCCGAAUGUGCCCUUCGGGGGAAAGAUUAAUCGCCUUUAGAGCGGCCCGCGUCUGAUUAGCUAGUUGGUUGAGGUAAUGGCUCACCAAGGCGACGAUCAGUAGCUGGUCUGAGAGGAUGAUCAGCCACAUUGGGACUGAGACACGGCCCAAACUCCUACGGGAGGCAGCAGUGGGGAAUCUUGCGCAAUGGGCGAAAGCCUGACGCAGCCAUGCCGCGUGAAUGAUGAAGGUCUUAGGAUUGUAAAAUUCUUUCACCGGGGACGAUAAUGACGGUACCCGGAGAAGAAGCCCCGGCUAACUUCG
This 431-nucleotide ribosomal RNA is filed under the name uncultured bacterium. Its description in RNAcentral is "partial 16S ribosomal RNA". It matches the Rfam family "Bacterial small subunit ribosomal RNA", at positions 29 to 505 of the family's 1533-position model. The record is from RNAcentral.